CCUUGGCCUCCCAAGUGGUGAAAUAACAGUCUGUCUAUUGGAAUCAGAAUCCUGACAAGGUCCACCCUGCACACCACUUUCUCACAAAGGUCCUCUCAUCCUGAGCAGUCCUCCCUGCCACUGAUUUGUUGUCCUUCAUAAUGUCCCACAAUCUGCACCUGUCUUUGUUCUCCCUCAUGAUACUGCUUCACUUCUAUGCCCUGAAUUUCCUAUAAUGGGGAAGGAGCUCUAAAGCCUGGUUGUAGGAACACUUCAUGAACAGUACUGUGCAUGGCACACAAUCUCUAGCCAUCCCACUUGUCACGCUAAAAUCGAUGACUCGCUUCUGGUAGUGUCAGCCUGACUCUUUGGACAUGCUGAGUAAGCAGAGCGAGAAAGGAAGAGGGCUUCGACCAGAGGAAGAGGAGCAGAGAAAACAGGGAAGGAGAAUUCAGGGAAGUGGGGAAAAUCGAGGGAGCAGCAGCGUGGGGACUGAAGAAAGAAGGGUCAGGUGUCGCUGGGCAGCCAAGAAGAGACAAACAGCUAUUACUGAAUUACAGAAACUGGUUUAUUUCUGUCAGAAAGCUGCAGUGCCACCUGAGUUCCAAAUUUUAACAUUCUUUGUAAACGGAUGGAUUAUGAUAAAGAAGAUGCUACCAAUGAAAUAGAAAACCAACGAGAUGAGAAGACUGUGAUCCUCAUGCACUCAGAGGCACUUCCCUUCUAAGUCAAAGACCAUUCUCACUGACUAUGUGCCAAGGCCUCACUUCAGGCUUGUGACUCAACAAAGGGCUUUUCCAUUGAUAGAAGCAGUUUGGGAUUUGUAGCUACAACUUCUUCGAUAGUUACCUGCAUGUCCAUUGCUGGCAGCUGACUUCAGUCAUUAAAACCUGGC
RNAcentral lists this long non-coding RNA (874 nucleotides) under Homo sapiens (human). Its description in RNAcentral is "non-protein coding lnc-POTEB3-1:6". Lineage: Eukaryota; Metazoa; Chordata; Mammalia; Primates; Hominidae. The record is from RNAcentral.